GACGAACGCUGGCGGCGUGCCUAAUACAUGCAAGUCGAACGCAUUUUCUUUCACCGUAGCUUGCUACACCGAAAGAAAAUGAGUGGCGAACGGGUGAGUAACACGUGGGUAACCUGCCCAUCAGCGGGGGAUAACACUUGGAAACAGGUGCUAAUACCGCAUAAUUCCAUUUACCGCAUGGUAGAUGGGUGAAAGGCGCUUUUGCGUCACUGAUGGAUGGACCCGCGGUGCAUUAGCUAGUUGGUGGGGUAACGGCCUACCAAGGCUGCGAUGCAUAGCCGACCUGAGAGGGUGAUCGGCCACACUGGGACUGGGACACGGCCCAGACUCCUACGGGAGGCAGCAGUAGGGAAUCUUCGGCAAUGGACGCAAGUCUGACCGAGCAACGCCGCGUGAGUGAAGAAGGUUUUCGGAUCGUAAAACUCUGUUGUUAGAGAAGAACAAGGAUGAGAGUGGAAAGUUCAUCCCUUGACGGUAUCUAACCAGAAAGCCACGGCUAACUACGUG
RNAcentral lists this ribosomal RNA (507 nucleotides) under uncultured bacterium. RNAcentral's name for it is "partial 16S ribosomal RNA". It matches the Rfam family "Bacterial small subunit ribosomal RNA", at positions 28 to 507 of the family's 1533-position model. The record is from RNAcentral.